GUGUUGUACAAAAGGAGAGACGGUUAGCACACCCCUGGACAAGGAUGGAAGAGGCUCUCGGGCCCAACAACAUUUACACAAUGAAGGCAGCGCCACCUACUUCAAGGUAUCGAACCAUCAUUUGUAAAU
Small nuclear RNA from Myotis lucifugus (little brown bat), 129 nucleotides. Lineage: Eukaryota; Metazoa; Chordata; Mammalia; Chiroptera; Vespertilionidae. The record is from Ensembl.